This 540-nucleotide ribosomal RNA is filed under the name Orbilia blumenaviensis. RNAcentral describes it as "SSU rRNA". It matches the Rfam family "Eukaryotic small subunit ribosomal RNA", at positions 30 to 562 of the family's 1831-position model. The record is from RNAcentral. Lineage: Eukaryota; Fungi; Ascomycota; Orbiliomycetes; Orbiliales; Orbiliaceae.
UUUGGUAGUCAUAGCUUGUCUCAAAGAUUAAGCCAUGCAUGUCUAAGUAUUAGCAACUAUACAGUGAAACUGCGAAUGGCUCAUUAAAUCAGUUAUCGUUUAUUUGAUAGUACCUUACUACUUGGAUAACCGUGGUAAUUCUAGAGCUAAUACAUGCUAAAAAUCCCGACCUCUGGAAGGGAUGUAUUUAUUAGAUAAAAAACCAAUGCCUUCGGGCUCCUUGGUGAUUCAUAAUAACUUAACGAAUCGCAUGGCCUUGCGCCGGCGAUGGUUCAUUCAAAUUUCUGCCCUAUCAACUUUCGAUGGUAGGAUAGUGGCCUACCAUGGUUUCAACGGGUAACGGGGAAUUAGGGUUCGAUUCCGGAGAGGGAGCCUGAGAAACGGCUACCACAUCCAAGGAAGGCAGCAGGCGCGCAAAUUACCCAAUCCCAAUCCGGGGAGGUAGUGACAAUAAAUACUGAUACAGGGCUCUUUUGGGUCUUGUAAUUGGAAUGAGUACAAUUUAAAUCCCUUAACGAGGAACAAUUGGAGGGCAAGUCG